Molecule: long non-coding RNA, 829 nt
Filed under: Homo sapiens (human)
Lineage: Eukaryota; Metazoa; Chordata; Mammalia; Primates; Hominidae
Description: non-protein coding LINC01507:5
Source: RNAcentral
AGGAACCCCCCUGCCACGAACCCUUCAGUCGACAUCAAUGAUCAACAUUCUGUCAUUCUUCUGAGAAAUCAAUCUUAUGAUCAUCCUUUUCAUGUAGAUUUCCUCCUAGGCACUUUUGUCUGAACCACGUGGCACAAAUUGGCAGAGAACAAGGAAAAGAAGAACAGAGGAAGGAGAAAAGGAGAAAAGUCAUUCUGCUGAAAACGAGCUGACUGAGUUGGCUUGGCUGUACAUAGGAGGAAGACCCUGAUCCCUGGUGCUCAACACAGAAAUGCUUCAAUGAUACCCUGAGAUUGUUUUACCUUGCAACACUCUCUGGAAAAUUGCUGCUCCAGGAAUGCGAUGAAAAGAUCUGUAAGAGAGCACAGCCCCUGUUGAUUGACUUGUCUUGAUCAAACCAGAGCUUCUGGCUGGGAUACUGGUAUCUUGAGUGAGUCACAGCAGGAGAUACGUGCUGGAGCUGAAGAGGUUGGAGAGGCAGCAGAAAAGACAUUUACAACCAAGUGACCCCACCUGGACUCACGACUUGUGACUCAACCGGUCCUGCGGUCUCCCACCCAGAGGCAGAGUCAGUGCACGAGGACUGUUUUCCACACCCCUAUGAUUGCAUUCCCAACCAAUCAGAAGCACUUAUUCCCUAUUCCCCUGCCCACCAAAUGAUCCUUGUAAAACCCAAACCUUCAAGUAUUCAGGGAGAAUGAUUUGGGUAAUAACUCCAGCCCUUGUGCUCAGUGGCCUUGCAUUAAUUUAAUUCUUUCCCUAUUGCUAUACCACUGCAAUAGGGAAAGUCUUGGUGAAUAGGUUUUGUGUGUGCAGUGGCAGGAAGAAC